CGGCAGCAGCGCGCAUCCGUGCCCGUCCCGAGCAGGAGGAGGCCGGGGCCGCAGAGCGGGGCCCCCGAGGAGCUCUGGCCCAGGCCGAGGGCGCACAGCAGAGCGACGCCACACAGAGUCAGCUGCGCGCCCCUCGUCCGCAUGGCCCCCAGAGCCGGAGGGCGCGCGGGGAUUUUAGGGGGCCUCGGCCACGCCCCCAGCCGGCCACGCCCAGACCCCGCCGCGCCCCCGCCGCGCCUCGUCGGUGGAGCCCUGCAGGACCUCAAGGGGACAGAGUUCCAAAGCGCAGGCUGAAGCUGGCGGGGCCGCACCGCGGAAGUCAAGGAGGCCACGUAUGGGGGCCCCUUUGGCCCAGAAACUCCUUCCGGAGCUAGAUACACCCUCACAGAGCGUGUUGUGGGGGGACGCCAGGCACAGCCCUCAUUUCCAGUCCCGGGUUUGCAGGGGUGGCAGGCGGCACCCUGAGUCAUCACAAGUUGGCAGUGUCCACAGGGUCUGGUGCAGGGCCCCCCCCCCAAGGAUGGAGCUGGCCUGGGACUGCCCCUUCGCUGCACCCCAUACCACCUGCAGCUUCCUGGUGGGAUGGAGAGCUCCAUGGUCUCUUAAAGAUCUUCUCUGACCGGUGAAGCUUAAACCUGCCUCAUCACUUGGAAGAUGAGCUGGAUUUUAGUAGCUGGCUUCCAAAGAAUAGAGUAAGAGCAGUGAAAAAUCCUCUUCACGGUGGAGAAGCCCGGCUGCCACCGAGGUGAGUGCUGAGGGCCGCUGUCGCUGCCGUGCACCCACACGUAUGAUAUGAGGAGGCACCCCACCUCUGUGGUAUUCUUUCCAGAUCUCCAUAACUCAAUCUAUUCAUGAGAAAAACAUCAGGAAAAAACCUAUUUGUCAUUUACCUUUUAAUUUUGUAUAUAGCAAAAUGUUUACCUCUUUUCAUUCAUGAUUUGUGUGAAUUCUUUACAUUUCGAAUUUCUUUCAUCUCAGAGUCUAUGUGAUGUCUGACUAAUGAUCUUGAAGAAUUUUAGACUCAUGAAAACAAAAACAGACUGAGCUGGGUGAAUGUAGUGACCACACUGUUUUUUCAUGUGAAACCUACAUAAGAGUGUAUUUCAAUAAUAUCUGAAUAAAAAAAAUCUCUCACCACCAGGGGUGGUGGGAUGAUGUCACGCUCUU
This is a non-coding RNA of Manis javanica (Malayan pangolin), 1167 nucleotides long. The record is from RefSeq and is a predicted model, not a curated record. NCBI's taxonomy places the organism in Eukaryota, Metazoa, Chordata, Mammalia, Pholidota, Manidae.